This is a non-coding RNA of Oryza punctata, 203 nucleotides long. NCBI's taxonomy places the organism in Eukaryota, Viridiplantae, Streptophyta, Magnoliopsida, Poales, Poaceae. The record is from Rfam.
CCUCCGUUCCAAAAUAAAUACCGUUUUACACUGCUCGUUCGUCUUAUUUAAAAAAAUUAUGAUAAGCAUGUUAAUUAUCAUUAGAUGAUAGAACAUGAAUGGUACUUUAUGUGUGACUAAUUUUUUAAAUUUUUUUAUGAAUUUUUUAAAUGAGACAGAUGGUCAAACUACGGAUACACACGAUACACACGGCUGCACUUAUU